CAAAAUGUAGCUUAAUUUUUUAAAGCCCUUCGCUUACACCGAAGCUAUCUCUGUGAAACCCAGAUCAUUUUGA
Molecule: transfer RNA, 73 nt
Filed under: Ranitomeya ventrimaculata (Amazonian poison frog)
Lineage: Eukaryota; Metazoa; Chordata; Amphibia; Anura; Dendrobatidae
Description: tRNA-Val
Source: RNAcentral